AGAGGGUGCGAGCGUUAAUCGGAAUUACUGGGCGUAAAGAGCACGUAGGUGGUUGCUUAAGUCAGAUGUGAAAGCCCUGGGCUCAACCUGGGAAUGCCAUUGAUACUGGGCAGCUAGAGUAUGGUAGAGGGAAGUGGAAUUUCCGGUGUAGCGGUGAAAUGCGUAGAUAUCGGAAGGAACACCAGUGGCGAAGGCGGCUUCCUGGACCAAUACUGACACUGAGGUGCGAAAGCGUGGGGGUAGCAAACAGGAUUAGAUACCCUGGUAGUCCACGCCGUAAACGAUGAGAACUAGCUGUUGGGGCCUACGGGCUUUAGUAGCGCAGCUAACGCGAUAAGUUCUCCGCCUGGGAGUACGGCCGCAAGGCUA
This 369-nucleotide ribosomal RNA is filed under the name uncultured organism. RNAcentral's name for it is "partial 16S ribosomal RNA". It matches the Rfam family "Bacterial small subunit ribosomal RNA", at positions 527 to 896 of the family's 1533-position model. The record is from RNAcentral.